GUUAGCGGCGGACGGGUGAGUAACACGUGGGUAACCUGCCUGUAAGACUGGGAUAACUCCGGGAAACCGGAGCUAAUACCGGAUAGUUCCUUGAACCGCAUGGUUCAAGGAUGAAAGACGGUUUCGGCUGUCACUUACAGAUGGACCCGCGGCGCAUUAGCUAGUUGGUGAGGUAACGGCUCACCAAGGCGACGAUGCGUAGCCGACCUGAGAGGGUGAUCGGCCACACUGGGACUGAGACACGGCCCAGACUCCUACGGGAGGCAGCAGUAGGGAAUCUUCCGCAAUGGACGAAAGUCUGACGGAGCAACGCCGCGUGAGUGAUGAAGGUUUUCGGAUCGUAAAGCUCUGUUGUUAGGGAAGAACAAGUGCAAGAGUAACUGCUUGCACCUUGACGGUACCUAACCAGAAAGCCACGGCUAACUACGUGCCAGCAGCCGCGGUAAUACGUAGGUGGCAAGCGUUGUCCGGAAUUAUUGGGCGUAAAGGGCUCGCAGGCGGUUUCUUAAGUCUGAUGUGAAAGCCCCCGGCUCAACCGGGGAGGGUCAUUGGAAACUGGGAAACUUGAGUGCAGAAGAGGAGAGUGGAAUUCCACGUGUAGCGGUGAAAUGCGUAGAGAUGUGGAGGAACACCAGUGGCGAAGGCGACUCUCUGGUCUGUAACUGACGCUGAGGAGCGAAAGCGUGGGGAGCGAACAGGAUUAGAUACCCUGGUAGUCCACGCCGUAAACGAUGAGUGCUAAGUGUUAGGGGGUUUCCGCCCCUUAGUGCUGCAGCUAACGCAUUAAGCACUCCGCCUGGGGAGUACGGUCGCAAGACUGAACUCAAAGGAUUGACGGGGGCCCGCA
This 847-nucleotide ribosomal RNA is filed under the name Bacillus pumilus. RNAcentral describes it as "bacterial SSU rRNA". It matches the Rfam family "Bacterial small subunit ribosomal RNA", at positions 91 to 925 of the family's 1533-position model. The record is from RNAcentral. Lineage: Bacteria; Bacillati; Bacillota; Bacilli; Caryophanales; Bacillaceae.